UACGGGGGGGGCAAGCGUUGUUCGGAAUUACUGGGCGUAAAGGGCUCGUAGGCGGCCAACUAAGUCAGACGUGAAAUCCCUCGGCUUAACCGGGGAACUGCGUCUGAUACUGGAUGGCUCGAAUCCGGGAGAGGGAUGCGGAAUUCCAGGUGUAGCGGUGAAAUGCGUAGAUAUCUGGAGGAACACCGGUGGCGAAGGCGGCAUCCUGGACCGGCAUUGACGCUGAUGAGCGAAAGCCAGGGGAGCAAACGGG
This 253-nucleotide ribosomal RNA is filed under the name uncultured bacterium. RNAcentral describes it as "partial 16S ribosomal RNA". It matches the Rfam family "Bacterial small subunit ribosomal RNA", at positions 524 to 776 of the family's 1533-position model. The record is from RNAcentral.